RNAcentral lists this non-coding RNA (23 nucleotides) under Arabidopsis thaliana (thale cress). The record is from RNAcentral. Lineage: Eukaryota; Viridiplantae; Streptophyta; Magnoliopsida; Brassicales; Brassicaceae.
UGUAAGCCUACAAUGGAGCUUCA